UAAAAACUAAAAAAAAA
RNAcentral lists this small RNA (17 nucleotides) under Arabidopsis thaliana (thale cress). Its description in RNAcentral is "ATSL126470". Lineage: Eukaryota; Viridiplantae; Streptophyta; Magnoliopsida; Brassicales; Brassicaceae. The record is from RNAcentral.